CUAAGACGACUGAUACUGGAAUGUUUAGCUUCUUUGGUGGAGAUAACACCACUAAUAAUAGUGGUUGGUAGUACUAACUGGCUAAUGGAUAUUCCAAGAGCAUAAUCACAGCUACCGUAUUAUGAAUAUGAUUUAGUGAACAUCGAAAUUGUAGAUAUGCAUGAGAAUUUAAUAAUUCAAACAACAUCAUAAAUAUUACAAUAUAUAGGACACUUUAAACAUUAUAAUUAUGAUAAUUGUCAUUUAUUAUUAACAUUAUUAAGAUAAUGGCUACAAAUUCUCUUCCUCCUCUUCUUCUACUUCCAUUAUUGUUUCUGAUACAUCCAUUUCUCUAGGUGUGAGAAUGUAAGACUGUGAAAGAUGGAGUCUCUGUGCUGUGGUUGAAGGAGGAGGUGGAGGAACAUACCUCUCACCAUCUUCUUUCCUAGUGCAAGUGUUUCUUAAGUGUUUAACAUGAACUCCAAAUGCUAGUACACUUAUUGGCACAAUAGGACCAAUGAGAUAGACCACUAUUGCUAUGUAAGAGCUAGAAUGUGACUCUACAUUGGAGUGAUUGCAGUUAUCAGUGAAAGCAUUGUUCAUUCCUAAUCUCUGACAGUUGAAGUAUGCCUCUGAAGUAGAAGUCAGCUUGUGUCUGUUAAUCCCUUGAUGUAUGGAGUAUAUCAACACAAGGAACUGGAAAGCAUUGGUCUUUUUAAUGAUCUUACUAACUUAUUACCAAGUAUGCCAUGAUACUAGAGACAAAGAAAGAAAAGGAGAGAU
Long non-coding RNA from Amphimedon queenslandica, 762 nucleotides. RefSeq lists it as uncharacterized. Lineage: Eukaryota; Metazoa; Porifera; Demospongiae; Haplosclerida; Niphatidae. The record is from RefSeq and is a predicted model, not a curated record. The transcript is spliced from 3 exons.